Molecule: ribosomal RNA, 237 nt
Filed under: Staphylococcus aureus
Lineage: Bacteria; Bacillati; Bacillota; Bacilli; Caryophanales; Staphylococcaceae
Description: partial 23S ribosomal RNA
Rfam family: Bacterial large subunit ribosomal RNA
Source: RNAcentral
ACGGAGCACGUGAAAUUCCGUCGGAAUCUGGGAGGACCAUCUCCUAAGGCUAAAUACUCUCUAGUGACCGAUAGUGAACCAGUACCGUGAGGGAAAGGUGAAAAGCACCCCGGAAGGGGAGUGAAAUAGAACCUGAAACCGUGUGCUUACAAGUAGUCAGAGCCCGUUAAUGGGUGAUGGCGUGCCUUUUGUAGAAUGAACCGGCGAGUUACGAUUUGAUGCAAGGUUAAGCAGUAA